UGAUUGAAAGAGGCAAUUGCAGUUUUACUGCUAAAAUUCAGGUGGCAAGCAGAAGAGGGGCAAGAGCAGCUGGGAUCUACAAUUGCCAAGGCCAGGGCACCCACAGCCUCCUGGUGUCACCUCAGGGUGAGUAAAACAGGGCUGAAAACAGCGCUGGAUCCUGAUCCUUUCUUCCUCUGAGGGCUGGCUGAGGGCAGCAGAGGCGGGCCCUGAGGAAUCAGGGCUGUUUGUGGGGGAUUGUUGCUGUAGUCCAGCAUUGCCCUGGCAAAAGCCCUGGGAAGCCGAGGCAGGAGCAGGUGGGAAGGGCCGGCGCUGCUGCUGCUCCUGGCCGGGAGCCCCGGCCGGGCCGGGCCUGCGCCCGCUGCGCUGCGGCUGCUGCUGCUGCCAGAGCCGGGCGGGACUCGGGGACAGGGAAUGGACACGGGGGGACAGCAAAGGCCUUGGGGGCUGCAGGGAUGUUGGUGCUGGGGCCAGCGCCAGCACAGAGCUUCAGCCCGCAAUGAACCCCGAGGGAAACGCUGGGGAAAGGCUCCAUUCAGCCUUUCUUUACUCGGCGCUGUGAAGGGACCGAAAUAAAAGGAGAGUGAGCAGGGCCCGACCCCUUCUCCUUUGGGAGGAGCCCCUGGGGCUGUGAGGGGCCGUGAGGGGAAAUGAGAGGUUCUAUGGGGCCAGGACAGGUUCUGUGGGGCCAUGAGGGGUAGUGAGGGGCCAUGAGGGGCUGUGAGGGGCCAAGAGAUGUUCUAUGGGGCCAUGAGAGGUUCUAUGGGGCCAUGAGAGGUUCUAUGGGGCUGUGAGGGGCUGUGAGGGGAAAUGAGGGGCCAUGAAGGGACAUGAGGGGCUGUGAGAGGUUCUAUGAGGCCAUGAGAGGUUCUGUGGGGCCAUGAGGGGUAGUGAGGGGCCAUGAGGGGCUGUGAGGGGCCAAGAUAUGUUCUAUGGGGCCAUGAGAGGUUCUAUGGGGCCAUGAGGGGUUGUGAAGGGCCAUGAGGAGCCUCAGCCCUGGCAGGAGGGGUCCCACCAUGUCCCCAGGGCAGGGCAGCCGUGAGGGGCCGCGAGUGCAGAUGUGGCAGCAGAGUGGGCUUGGGGCCCCUCUGGGAAAGGAUGAGGCAUUUCCCCAGCUCCAAACCACACCAAGCCCACCAUUAAAAAAGAUUUCCUGUCUUUUGAAUCCACUGGCAACUUGGAGUUGAUUGUAGAAGUUUAAUCCCAGUGAGAAAAGCAAGGGAAGUUUCCCAGUGAGUGACAUCCAGCCAUUUUUAUUCAUGUCUAAGAUUUAAAAGUCUUAACAAUGAAAAGUAAUACUAAUAAAUAAUAAUAACAACAAG
Molecule: non-coding RNA, 1322 nt
Organism: Cyanistes caeruleus (blue tit)
Lineage: Eukaryota; Metazoa; Chordata; Aves; Passeriformes; Paridae
Source: RefSeq, a predicted model, not a curated record